UUCCGUAGGAUGACCUGCGGAAGGAUCAUUA
Molecule: ribosomal RNA, 31 nt
Filed under: Hebeloma sp. KGP75
Lineage: Eukaryota; Fungi; Basidiomycota; Agaricomycetes; Agaricales; Hymenogastraceae
Description: partial 18S ribosomal RNA
Source: RNAcentral